RNAcentral lists this ribosomal RNA (497 nucleotides) under uncultured bacterium. RNAcentral describes it as "partial 16S ribosomal RNA". It matches the Rfam family "Bacterial small subunit ribosomal RNA", at positions 28 to 507 of the family's 1533-position model. The record is from RNAcentral.
GAUGAACGCUGGCGGCGUGCCUAAUACAUGCAAGUUGAGCGAACAGAUAAGGAGCUUGCUCCUUUGACGUUAGCGGCGGACGGGUGAGUAACACGUGGGUAACCUACCUAUAAGACUGGGAUAACUUCGGGAAACCGGAGCUAAUACCGGAUAAUAUUUCGAACCGCAUGGUUCGAUAGUGAAAGAUGGUUUUGCUAUCACUUAUAGAUGGACCCGCGCCGUAUUAGCUAGUUGGUAAGGUAACGGCUUACCAAGGCGACGAUACGUAGCCGACCUGAGAGGGUGAUCGGCCACACUGGAACUGAGACACGGUCCAGACUCCUACGGGAGGCAGCAGUAGGGAAUCUUCCGCAAUGGGCGAAAGCCUGACGGAGCAACGCCGCGUGAGUGAUGAAGGUCUUCGGAUCGUAAAACUCUGUUAUUAGGGAAGAACAUACGUGUAAGUAACUGUGCACGUCUUGACGGUACCUAAUCAGAAAGCCACGGCUAACUACGUG